Long non-coding RNA from Serinus canaria (Common canary), 442 nucleotides. RefSeq lists it as uncharacterized. Lineage: Eukaryota; Metazoa; Chordata; Aves; Passeriformes; Fringillidae. The record is from RefSeq and is a predicted model, not a curated record. The transcript has 3 exons.
CCUGCGGUGGAUGAGUUGUGGAGCACAGCAAAGGCUUCUUUGGUUUCUGAAGGGAGGAAUUCGCAUUCAGAGCUGUUGACUGAGAUGGGGGCUCAUGUUUCUGUUGUACCUGCAUCAGAGGCAGAGCUUCUCUGCACUUGGUUUCUGAAGGAUCUGGAAGAAAUUACCAGUGACAGUUGUGAGAGGGAUGUACUCCAGCUUGGCGGGGCUGGUUUGUGCUUUGUUACCACAUUGCCUCUUCCUAGCAAAGUGGAUUUGCUGGUGGCAUUCCUGGAUUUCUUGAGCUCUCAUGCUAACUCUGAGUCAGCUUUGACCUGGCUGGGUGCCCACCUGCAUUAUUCCAGAUGUGGCCAUGGAAAGUCCACAGGGAAAGCAACACUAGGGGAGAAGGUCUUGCUGGCUUGAUGACUAAAAACAAAAUAAAAAUCAAGUAAGAUUCCUC